This 496-nucleotide ribosomal RNA is filed under the name uncultured Lachnospiraceae bacterium. RNAcentral's name for it is "bacterial SSU rRNA". It matches the Rfam family "Bacterial small subunit ribosomal RNA", at positions 893 to 1382 of the family's 1533-position model. Lineage: Bacteria; Bacillati; Bacillota; Clostridia; Lachnospirales; Lachnospiraceae. The record is from RNAcentral.
CAGGAAACUCAAAUGAAGUUGACGGGGCCCGCACAAGCGGUGGAGUAUGUGGUUUAAUUCGAUGCAACGCGAAGAACCUUACUGGUCUUGACAUCCCGGAGACCCUUUAGGAAACUAGGGGGUGCUUCCAUCUGGAAGAAUCUGGAGACAGGUGGUGCAUGGUUGUCGUCAGCUCGUGUCGUGAGAUGUUGGGUUAAGUCCCGCAACGAGCGCAACCCUUAUCCUUAGUUACCAGCACGUAAAGGUGGGGACUCUAGGGAGACCGCCGGGGACGACUCGGAGGAAGGUGGGGACGACGUCAAAUCAUCAUGCCCCUUAUGUCUUGGGCUACACACGUGCUACAAUGGCCGCAACAGAGGGAAGCGAGAGCGCAAGCUGGAGCAAAACCCUAAAAAGCGGUCCCAGUUCGGAUUGUGGGCUGCAACCCGCCCACAUGAAGUCGGAGUUGCUAGUAAUCGCGAAUCAGCAUGUCGCGGUGAAUGCGUUCCCGGGCCUU